Molecule: non-coding RNA, 308 nt
Organism: Beta vulgaris subsp. vulgaris (sugar beet)
Lineage: Eukaryota; Viridiplantae; Streptophyta; Magnoliopsida; Caryophyllales; Amaranthaceae
Rfam family: Plant signal recognition particle RNA
Source: Rfam
GUCGAGCUUGGUAACGCGAGCUUGUGACCCAAGUGGGGACAACAAGGUGGUGGAACAAGAAUCCAGAUAGUUGGGUCGGGUCUUGGGUUGGCUUUAUGCUGGCCUGCCCUGUCCAAGUUGGGAGUUGAUCCAUGGGUCUUAGGCGAAGGCUUGAGUCUCUUGGGUCCUAGAGCAGAGGGUACUGCGUGAGGCUGGUUUCACAGAGCAACGAGAACUUCUCGCUCCUGUCAGUGGACGGAUAACGGGCUGGUGCCACCCGGAUCCAUUAGUACCCAUCUAGCUUAGAUCUCAUCUGGACCACCACUUUU